UACGGAGGCCUCGAGCGUUAGGCGGAAUCACUGGGCUUAAAGCGUGUGUAGGCGGACUUCUAAGUACCUUGUGAAAUCCCACGGCUCACCCGUGGAACUGCUCGGUAUACUGGUCGUCUUGAGCCUUCUAGGGGCGAGUGGAACAAAUGGUGGAGCGGUGAAAUGCGUAGAUAUCAUUUGGAACGCCAAUGGUGAAAACAGGUAGCUGGGAGUGUGCUGACGCUGAGACACGAAAGCCAGGGGAGCGAACGGG
This 253-nucleotide ribosomal RNA is filed under the name uncultured bacterium. Its description in RNAcentral is "partial 16S ribosomal RNA". It matches the Rfam family "Bacterial small subunit ribosomal RNA", at positions 524 to 776 of the family's 1533-position model. The record is from RNAcentral.